AAGGAGAAGUCGUAACAAGGUUUCCGUAGGUGAACCUGCGGAGAGCAAUCCACUCUUCGGGACACCGUGCUUGCCCGGUGCUUCGGGCAAAUGCUCGUUCGUCUCUGUCGUCUGCUCAACAACCAACCCCGGCGCAGUACGCGCCAAGGAAUAGAAAGUGAAAAGGGCGUGCUUUUCUUUCGGAAUGCAUUGCCUUCUUUCAAGAAUCAAAAUGACUCUCGGCAACGGAUAUCUCGGCUCUCGCAUCGAUGAAGAACGCAGCAAAAUGCGAUACUUGGUGUGAAUUGCAGAAUCCCGUGAACCAUCGAGUCUUUGAACGCAAGUUGCGCCCGACGCCUUCGGGCUGAGGGCACGCCUGCCUGGGCGUCACGCAUCGCGUCGCCCCCUACACCAAUUUGGUGCGGGGGCGGAUAAUGGCAUCCCGUUAGCUCGGUUUGCCCAAAAAGGAUCCCUCAUCGACGGAUGUCACAACCAGUGGUGGUUGAAAGAUCAUUGGUGCCGUUGUGCUUCACUCCGUCGCAUGCUUGGGCAUCGUUACAAAACAAUGGUGCUAACGCGCCUUCGACCGCGGCCCCAGGUCAGACGGGACUACCCGCUGAG
RNAcentral lists this ribosomal RNA (600 nucleotides) under embryophyte environmental sample. RNAcentral's name for it is "eukaryotic LSU rRNA". The stretch from base 214 to 369 matches the Rfam family "5.8S ribosomal RNA". The record is from RNAcentral. Lineage: Eukaryota; Viridiplantae; Streptophyta.